RNAcentral lists this ribosomal RNA (223 nucleotides) under Serratia nevei. RNAcentral's name for it is "partial 23S ribosomal RNA". It matches the Rfam family "Bacterial large subunit ribosomal RNA", at positions 1532 to 1750 of the family's 2925-position model. The record is from RNAcentral. Lineage: Bacteria; Pseudomonadati; Pseudomonadota; Gammaproteobacteria; Enterobacterales; Yersiniaceae.
CCUGGUAAAUCCGGUUGCAUAUCAACCCUGAGGCGUGAUGACGAUGCACUACGGUGCAGAAGUAGUUGAUGCCCUGCUUCCAGGAAAAGCCUCUAAGCUCUAGGUAACAUUGAAUCGUACCCCAAACCGACACAGGUGGUCAGGUAGAGAAUACCAAGGCGCUUGAGAGAACUCGGGUGAAGGAACUAGGCAAAAUGGUGCCGUAACUUCGGGAGAAGGCACG